RNAcentral lists this RNase P RNA (162 nucleotides) under Woeseiaceae bacterium. RNAcentral describes it as "partial RNase P RNA component class A". It matches the Rfam family "Bacterial RNase P class A", at positions 1 to 164 of the family's 367-position model. Rfam says of the family: Ribonuclease P (RNase P) is a ubiquitous endoribonuclease, found in archaea, bacteria and eukarya as well as chloroplasts and mitochondria. Its best characterised activity is the generation of mature 5'-ends of tRNAs by cleaving the 5'-leader elements of precursor-tRNAs. Lineage: Bacteria; Pseudomonadati; Pseudomonadota; Gammaproteobacteria; Woeseiales; Woeseiaceae. The record is from RNAcentral.
GGAGUUGGCCAGACAAUCGCUGUAGUUCGCUAUGGAGGAAAGUCCGGGCUCCCUCGGACAGGGCGCCAGGUAACGCCUGGGAGGCGCGAGCCUAUGGAAAGUGCCACAGAAAAUAUACCGCUUGUUUCUUAUUCGGAAGAUAUAAGUAAGGGUGAAAUGGUG